GACAGAGGGUGCAACCGUUGUUCGGAAUUACUGGGCGUAAAGCGCGUGUAGGCUGCUCCGCAAGUCGGGUGUGAAAGCCCUGGGCUCAACCUAGGAAGUGCACUCGAAACUUCGGAGCUGGAGUCCUGGAGAGGAAGGCGGAAUUCUCGGUGUAGAGGUGAAAUUCGUAGAUAUCGAGAGGAACACCGGUGGCGAAGGCGGCCUUCUGGACAGCAACUGACGCUGAGACGCGAAAGCGUGGGGAGCAAACAGG
This 253-nucleotide ribosomal RNA is filed under the name uncultured bacterium. Its description in RNAcentral is "partial 16S ribosomal RNA". It matches the Rfam family "Bacterial small subunit ribosomal RNA", at positions 524 to 776 of the family's 1533-position model. The record is from RNAcentral.